Molecule: ribosomal RNA, 427 nt
Filed under: uncultured bacterium
Lineage: Bacteria
Description: bacterial SSU rRNA
Rfam family: Bacterial small subunit ribosomal RNA
Source: RNAcentral
GGACCCGCACAAGCGGUGGAACAUGUGGUUUAAUUCGAUGAUACGCGAAGAACCUUACCUGGGUUUGACAUGUUAGUGAAAGUUUUCUGAAAAGAAAUCCCUUUAAAAGCUUGCUUUUAAACACUAUCACAGGUGAUGCAUGGCUGUCGUCAGCUCGUGUCGUGAGAUGUUAGGUUAAGUCCUGCAACGAGCGCAACCCCUAUAUUUAGUUGCCAGCACAUAAUGGUGGGGACUCUAAAUAGACUGCCCGGAAUAACCGGGAGGAAGGUGGGGAUGAUGUCAAGUCAGUAUGUCCCUUAUACCCAGGGCUACACACGUGUUACAAUGGACAGUACAGAAAGUUGCAAUUCCGCGAGGAGGAGCCAAUCUUUAAAACUGUCCCCAGUUCAGAUUGAAGUCUGAAAUUCGACUUCAUGAAGCAGGAAUC